GUGCUAUACAUGCAGUCGAACGAGUUCUCGUUGAUGAUCGGUGCUUGCACCGAGAUUCAACAUGGAACGAGUGGCGGACGGGUGAGUAACACGUGGGUAACCUGCCCUUAAGUGGGGGAUAACAUUUGGAAACAGAUGCUAAUACCGCAUAGAUCCAAGAACCGCAUGGUUCUUGGCUGAAAGAUGGCGUAAGCUAUCGCUUUUGGAUGGACCCGCGGCGUAUUAGCUAGUUGGUGAGGUAAUGGCUCACCAAGGCGAUGAUACGUAGCCGAACUGAGAGGUUGAUCGGCCACAUUGGGACUGAGACACGGCCCAAACUCCUACGGGAGGCAGCAGUAGGGAAUCUUCCACAAUGGACGCAAGUCUGAUGGAGCAACGCCGCGUGAGUGAAGAAGGCUUUCGGGUCGUAAAACUCUGUUGUUGGAGAAGAAUGGUCGGCAGAGUAACUGUUGUCGGCGUGACGGUAUCCAACCAGAAAGCCACGGCUAACUACGUGCCAGCAGCCGCGGUAAUACGUAGGUGGCAAGCGUUAUCCGGAUUUAUUGGGCGUAAAGCGAGCGCAGGCGGUUUUUUAAGUCUGAUGUGAAAGCCCUCGGCUUAACCGAGGAAGCGCAUCGGAAACUGGGAAACUUGAGUGCAGAAGAGGACAGUGGAACUCCAUGUUGUAGCGGUGAAAUGCGUAGAUAUAUGGAAGAACACCAGUGGCGAAGGCGGCUGUCUGGUCUGUAACUGACGCUGAGGCUCGAAAGCAUGGGUAGCGAACAGGAUUAGAUACCCUGGUAGUCCAUGCCGUAAACGAUGAAUGCUAGGUGUUGGAGGGUUUCCGCCCUUCAGUGCCGCAGCUAACGCAUUAAGCAUUCCGCCUGGGGAGUACGACCGCAAGGUUGAAACUCAAAGGAAUUGACGGGGGCCCGCACAAGCGGUGGAGCAUGUGGUUUAAUUCGAAGCAACGCGAAGAACCUUACCAGGUCUUGACAUCUUUUGAUCACCUGAGAGAUCAGGUUUCCCCUUCGGGGGCAAAAUGACAGGUGGUGCAUGGUUGUCGUCAGCUCGUGUCGUGAGAUGUUGGGUUAAGUCCCGCAACGAGCGCAACCCUUAUGACUAGUUGCCAGCAUUUAGUUGGGCACUCUAGUAAGACUGCCGGUGACAAACCGGAGGAAGGUGGGGAUGACGUCAAAUCAUCAUGCCCCUUAUGACCUGGGCUACACACGUGCUACAAUGGAUGGUACAACGAGUUGCGAGACCGCGAGGUCAAGCUAAUCUCUUAAAGCCAUUCUCAGUUCGGACUGUAGGCUGCAACUCGCCUACACGAAGUCGGAAUCGCUAGUAAUCGCGGAUCAGCACGCCGCGGUGAAUACGUUCCCGGGCCUUGUACACACCGCCCGUCACACCAUGAGAGUUUGUAACACCCGAAGCCGGUGGCGUAACCCUUUAGGGAGCGAGCCGUCUAAUG
RNAcentral lists this ribosomal RNA (1453 nucleotides) under Lacticaseibacillus casei. RNAcentral describes it as "bacterial SSU rRNA". It matches the Rfam family "Bacterial small subunit ribosomal RNA". The record is from RNAcentral. Lineage: Bacteria; Bacillati; Bacillota; Bacilli; Lactobacillales; Lactobacillaceae.